This 69-nucleotide transfer RNA is filed under the name Urocitellus parryii (Arctic ground squirrel). Its description in RNAcentral is "Spermophilus parryii (Arctic ground squirrel) tRNA". It matches the Rfam family "tRNA". Rfam says of the family: Transfer RNA (tRNA) molecules are approximately 80 nucleotides in length. Their secondary structure includes four short double-helical elements and three loops (D, anti-codon, and T loops). RNAcentral also lists the same sequence under 3 other names. The record is from Rfam by way of RNAcentral. Lineage: Eukaryota; Metazoa; Chordata; Mammalia; Rodentia; Sciuridae.
GGGGUUGUAGCUCAGUAGUAGAGUGCUUGCCUAGCAUGUAUGAGGCACUGGGUUUGAUUCUCAGCACCA